Molecule: transfer RNA, 73 nt
Filed under: Poterioochromonas malhamensis
Lineage: Eukaryota; Synurophyceae; Ochromonadales; Ochromonadaceae
Description: tRNA-Arg
Rfam family: tRNA
About the family: Transfer RNA (tRNA) molecules are approximately 80 nucleotides in length. Their secondary structure includes four short double-helical elements and three loops (D, anti-codon, and T loops).
Source: RNAcentral
GGGUAUGUAGCUCAGAGGAUAGAGUGCGUAGCUACGAACUACGAUGUCGGGGGUUCAAAUCCCUCCUUGCCCA